CCUACGGGGGGCAGCAGUGGGGAAUAUUGCACAAUGGGCGCAAGCCUGAUGCAGCCAUGCCGCGUGUGUGAAGAAGGCCUUCGGGUUGUAAAGCACUUUCAGUCAGGAGGAAAGGUUAGUAGUUAAUACCUGCUAGCUGUGACGUUACUGACAGAAGAAGCACCGGCUAACUCCGUGCCAGCAGCCGCGGUAAUACGGAGGGUGCGAGCGUUAAUCGGAAUUACUGGGCGUAAAGCGUACGCAGGCGGUUUGUUAAGCGAGAUGUGAAAGCCCCGGGCUCAACCUGGGAACUGCAUUUCGAACUGGCAAACUAGAGUGUGAUAGAGGGUGGUAGAAUUUCAGGUGUAGCGGUGAAAUGCGUAGAGAUCUGAAGGAAUACCGAUGGCGAAGGCAGCCACCUGGGUCAACACUGACGCUCAUGUACGAAAGCGUGGGGAGCAAACAGGAUUAGAUACCCCCGUAGUC
This 465-nucleotide ribosomal RNA is filed under the name uncultured bacterium. RNAcentral's name for it is "bacterial SSU rRNA". It matches the Rfam family "Bacterial small subunit ribosomal RNA", at positions 338 to 795 of the family's 1533-position model. The record is from RNAcentral.